RNAcentral lists this ribosomal RNA (253 nucleotides) under uncultured bacterium. RNAcentral describes it as "partial 16S ribosomal RNA". It matches the Rfam family "Bacterial small subunit ribosomal RNA", at positions 524 to 776 of the family's 1533-position model. The record is from RNAcentral.
UACGUAGGGCGCAAGCGUUGUCCGGAAUUAUUGGGCGUAAAGAGCUCGUAGGCGGUUUGUCACGUCGGGUGUGAAAGCCCGGGGCUUAACCCCGGGUCUGCAUUCGAUACGGGCAGACUAGAGUGUGGUAGGGGAGAUCGGAAUUCCUGGUGUAGCGGUGAAAUGCGCAGAUAUCAGGAGGAACACCGGUGGCGAAGGCGGUUCUCUGGGCAUGUCCUGACGCUGAGGAGCGAAAGUGUGGGGAGCGAACAGG